GGAUUAGGCAUGCAAGUCGUACGAGAACGGUCCCUUCGGGGACUUAGUAAAGUGGCGGACGGGUGAGUAAUGCAUAGAUAACCUACCCUCGAGAUGGGGAUAACACCUGGAAACGGGUGCUAAUACUCAAUGCCGUCGUUGGCCCGCGGGCCUUCGACGAAAGGAGGCCUCUGUUUAAGCUUCCACUCGGGGACGGGUCUAUGUCCUAUUAGCUUGUUGGUGAGGUAACGGCUCACCAAGGCUGCGAUGGGUAGCCGGCCUGAGAGGGUGACCGGCCACAUUGGGACUGAGACACUGCCCAGACUCCUACGGGAGGCUGCAGUCGAGAAUCUUCCGCAAUGCGCGCAAGCGUGACGGAGCGACGCCGCGUGGGCGAUGAAGGCCUUCGGGUUGUAAAGCCCUGUCAGUUACUAGGAACCGCGGGUGGUUAAUAGCUAUCCCGCCUGACCCAGUAGCAGAGGAAGCACCGGCUAAAUACGUGCCAGCAGCCGCGGUAAUACGUAUGGUGCGAACGUUGUUCGGAAUCACUGGGCUUAAAGCGGGCGUAGGCGGUUCGGUCAGUCCGUUGUGAAAUCCCUCGGCUCAACCGAGGAACUGCAACGGAUACUGCUGAGCUAGAGUGCAGGAGGGGAGAGUGGAAUUCCUGGUGGAGCGGUGAAAUGCGUAGAUAUCAGGAGGAACGCCGGUGGCGAAAGCGACUCUCUGGACUGCUACUGACGCUGAGGCCCGAAAGCUAGGGGAGCGAACGGGAUUAGAUACCCCGGUAGUCCUAGCCCUAAACGAUGGGCACUAAGUAGAGGGGUUUU
RNAcentral lists this ribosomal RNA (806 nucleotides) under uncultured Planctomycetota bacterium. Its description in RNAcentral is "bacterial SSU rRNA". It matches the Rfam family "Bacterial small subunit ribosomal RNA", at positions 46 to 832 of the family's 1533-position model. Lineage: Bacteria; Pseudomonadati; Planctomycetota. The record is from RNAcentral.